UAGCAGGAUAGUUACAGUGCAGCUCGUGCAGUGCUGUAUUGUCGUUCCCCCUGCUAAAAGUAACAUGUCUCCAGCUAUCCCUGUUUGUCUACAUCCACAGGCAACCAGGGACGCAAGGUCUCAGACAC
Mugil cephalus (flathead mullet) is the source of this 128-nucleotide small nucleolar RNA. RefSeq annotates it as small nucleolar RNA SNORA63. The transcript has a single exon. Lineage: Eukaryota; Metazoa; Chordata; Actinopteri; Mugiliformes; Mugilidae. The record is from RefSeq and is a predicted model, not a curated record.